Molecule: ribosomal RNA, 253 nt
Filed under: uncultured bacterium
Lineage: Bacteria
Description: partial 16S ribosomal RNA
Rfam family: Bacterial small subunit ribosomal RNA
Source: RNAcentral
UACGUAGGGGGCAAGCGUUAUCCGGAUUUACUGGGUGUGAAGGGGGCGCAGACGGCGAUGCAAGCCAGGAGUGAAAGCCCGGGGCCCAACCCCGGGACUGCUCUUGGAACUGCGUGGCUGGAGUGCAGGAGGGGCAGGCGGAAUUCCUGGUGUAGCGGUGAAAUGCGUAGAUAUCAGGAGGAACACCGGUGGCGAAGGCGGCCUGCUGGACUGCAACUGACGUUGAGGCCCGAAAGCGUGGGGAGCAAACAGG